RNAcentral lists this long non-coding RNA (218 nucleotides) under Rattus norvegicus (Norway rat). RNAcentral describes it as "long non-coding RNA NONRATT023835". The record is from RNAcentral. Lineage: Eukaryota; Metazoa; Chordata; Mammalia; Rodentia; Muridae.
GCUUGUGUUUCAGUGCCGGCGGAUCGUCUCCAAGACUCGACUAUGCGGUCCCUGCUGCUCCUGGCCUCGCUGGCCUGGCUUCUUCUGGCCCAGGCGAAGGACGACGCCAAGCUGGAGGACAACCUUUUGGUCCUCACCGUGGCCACAAAAGAGACAGAGGGCUUCCGCCGAUUCAAGCGCUCAGCCCAGUUCUUCAACUACAAGAUCCAGGUGAGGGC